This is a long non-coding RNA of Sapajus apella (tufted capuchin), 416 nucleotides long. RefSeq lists it as uncharacterized. The transcript is spliced from 3 exons. The record is from RefSeq and is a predicted model, not a curated record. NCBI's taxonomy places the organism in Eukaryota, Metazoa, Chordata, Mammalia, Primates, Cebidae.
UGGCUUUGUGUAUGAAUAAGGACUUGUAUGAAUGGCCACACGAGUGUUUAACUGUCUCUUACUUUUAAUCAGUGAAAUUGACCUAUCCGUGAAGAGGUGGAUAUACCUAAAUAAGAUGAGAAGACCCUAUGGAUCUUCAAUUAAAUAAUACAAACUUACACCUUAAAAACCUACAGGCACUAAUCUAAUGUUAAUGUAUUAUAAAUUUUGGUUGAGGUGGCCUUAGAGUACAGCAUAACCCCCGAAAGACACAUACCAAGACCUCAUUAGUCUAAGUAAAUCUAUACCUAUUGACCCAAUUACUUGAUGCACGGACUAAGUUACCCUAGGGAUAACAGCGCAAUCCUAUUUUAGAGUCCAUAUUGACAAUAGGGUUUACGACCUCGAUGUUGGAUCAAGACAUCCUAAUGGUGCAG